UUAAGCGACUAAGCGUACACGGUGGAUGCCCUGGCAGUCAGAGGCGAUGAAGGACGUGCUAAUCUGCGAAAAGCGUCGGUAAGGUGAUAUGAACCGUUAUAACCGGCGAUGUCCGAAUGGGGAAACCCAGUGUGAUUCGUCACACUAUCGUUAACUGAAUACAUAGGUUAACGAGGCGAACCGGGGGAACUGAAACAUCUAAGUACCCCGAGGAAAAGAAAUCAACCGAGAUUCCCCCAGUAGCGGCGAGCGAACGGGGAGCAGCCCAGAGUCUGAAUCAGCUUGUGUGUUAGUGGAACGGUCUGGAAAGUCCGACGGUACAGGGUGAUAGUCCCGUACACCAAAAUGCACAGGCUGUGAACUCGAAGAGUAGGGCGGGACACGUGGUAUCCUGUCUGAAUAUGGGGGGACCAUCCUCCAAGGCUAAAUACUCCUGACUGACCGAUAGUGAACCAGUACCGUGAGGGAAAGGCGAAAAGAACCCCGGCGAGGGGAGUGAAAAAGAACCUGAAACCGUGUACGUACAAGCAGUGGGAGCACCUUCGGGUGUGACUGCGUACCUUUUGUAUAAUGGGUCAGCGACUUAUAUUCUGUAGCAAGGUUAACCGUAUAGGGGAGCCGCAGGGAAACCGAGUCUUAACUGGGCGUUAAGUUGCAGGGUAUAGACCCGAAACCCGGUGAUCUAGCCAUGGGCAGGUUGAAGGUUGGGUAACACUAACUGGAGGACCGAACCGACUAAUGUUGAAAAAUUAGCGGAUGACUUGUGGCUGGGGGUGAAAGGCCAAUCAAACCGGGAGAUAGCUGGUUCUCCCCGAAAGCUAUUUAGGUAGCGCCUCGUGAACUCAUCUUCGGGGGUAGAGCACUGUUUCGGCUAGGGGGUCAUCCCGACUUACCAACCCGAUGCAAACUACGAAUACCGAAGAAUGUUAUCACGGGAGACACACGGCGGGUGCUAACGUCCGUCGUGAAGAGGGAAACAACCCAGACCGCCAGCUAAGGUCCCAAAGUCAUGGUUAAGUGGGAAACGAUGUGGGAAGGCACAGACAGCCAGGAUGUUGGCUUAGAAGCAGCCAUCAUUUAAAGAAAGCGUAAUAGCUCACUGGUCGAGUCGGCCUGCGCGGAAGAUGUAACGGGGCUAAACCAUGCACCGAAGCUGCGGCAGCGACACUAUGUGUUGUUGGGUAGGGGAGCGUUCUGUAAGCCUGCGAAGGUGUGCUGUGAGGCAUGCUGGAGGUAUCAGAAGUGCGAAUGCUGACAUAAGUAACGAUAAAGCGGGUGAAAAGCCCGCUCGCCGGAAGACCAAGGGUUCCUGUCCAACGUUAAUCGGGGCAGGGUGAGUCGACCCCUAAGGCGAGGCCGAAAGGCGUAGUCGAUGGGAAACAGGUUAAUAUUCCUGUACUUGGUGUUACUGCGAAGGGGGGACGGAGAAGGCUAUGUUAGCCGGGCGACGGUUGUCCCGGUUUAAGCAUGUAGGCUGGUUGUCCAGGCAAAUCCGGAUAAUCAAGGCUGAGGUGUGAUGACGAGGCACUACGGUGCUGAAGUAACAAAUGCCCUGCUUCCAGGAAAAGCCUCUAAGCAUCAGGUAACAUCAAAUCGUACCCCAAACCGACACAGGUGGUCAGGUAGAGAAUACCAAGGCGCUUGAGAGAACUCGGGUGAAGGAACUAGGCAAAAUGGUGCCGUAACUUCGGGAGAAGGCACGCUGGUGUGUAGGUGAAGUCCCUGCGGAUGGAGCUGAGACCAGUCGAAGAUACCAGCUGGCUGCAACUGUUUAUUAAAAACACAGCACUGUGCAAACACGAAAGUGGACGUAUACGGUGUGACGCCUGCCCGGUGCCGGAAGGUUAAUUGAUGGGGUUAUCCGUAAGGAGAAGCUCUUGAUCGAAGCCCCGGUAAACGGCGGCCGUAACUAUAACGGUCCUAAGGUAGCGAAAUUCCUUGUCGGGUAAGUUCCGACCUGCACGAAUGGCGUAAUGAUGGCCAGGCUGUCUCCACCCGAGACUCAGUGAAAUUGAACUCGCUGUGAAGAUGCAGUGUACCCGCGGCAAGACGGAAAGACCCCGUGAACCUUUACUAUAGCUUGACACUGAACAUUGAGCCUUGAUGUGUAGGAUAGGUGGGAGGCUUUGAAGCGUGGACGCCAGUCUGCGUGGAGCCAACCUUGAAAUACCACCCUUUAAUGUUUGAUGUUCUAACGUUGGCCCCUGACCGGGGUUGCGGACAGUGUCUGGUGGGUAGUUUGACUGGGGCGGUCUCCUCCCAAAGCGUAACGGAGGAGCACGAAGGUUAGCUAAUCCUGGUCGGACAUCAGGAGGUUAGUGCAAUGGCAUAAGCUAGCUUGACUGCGAGCGUGACGGCGCGAGCAGGUGCGAAAGCAGGUCAUAGUGAUCCGGUGGUUCUGAAUGGAAGGGCCAUCGCUCAACGGAUAAAAGGUACUCCGGGGAUAACAGGCUGAUACCGCCCAAGAGUUCAUAUCGACGGCGGUGUUUGGCACCUCGAUGUCGGCUCAUCACAUCCUGGGGCUGAAGUAGGUCCCAAGGGUAUGGCUGUUCGCCAUUUAAAGUGGUACGCGAGCUGGGUUUAGAACGUCGUGAGACAGUUCGGUCCCUAUCUGCCGUGGGCGCUGGAGAAUUGAGGGGGGCUGCUCCUAGUACGAGAGGACCGGAGUGGACGCAUCACUGGUGUUCGGGUUGUCAUGCCAAUGGCACUGCCCGGUAGCUAAAUGCGGAAGAGAUAAGUGCUGAAAGCAUCUAAGCACGAAACUUGCCCCGAGAUGAGUUCUCCCUGAGACUUUAAGUCUCCUGAAGGAACGUUGAAGACGACGACGUUGAUAGGCCGGGUGUGUAAGCGCAGCGAUGCGUUGAGCUAACCGGUACUAAUGAACCGUGAGGCUUAACCUU
Molecule: ribosomal RNA, 2900 nt
Filed under: Klebsiella pneumoniae
Lineage: Bacteria; Pseudomonadati; Pseudomonadota; Gammaproteobacteria; Enterobacterales; Enterobacteriaceae
Also listed under: 1 other name
Description: bacterial LSU rRNA
Rfam family: Bacterial large subunit ribosomal RNA
Source: RNAcentral